Long non-coding RNA from Rosa rugosa (rugosa rose), 981 nucleotides. RefSeq lists it as uncharacterized. The transcript is spliced from 2 exons. The record is from RefSeq and is a predicted model, not a curated record. Lineage: Eukaryota; Viridiplantae; Streptophyta; Magnoliopsida; Rosales; Rosaceae.
UUUACUUGGGGUUUCAGUGACCUUUAUAUAGUGUCAGUCAUGCAUAGCUCAAAAAUGCUUCAGAUUGAGACAGUGCAAGGUUAUAUUCAGCCAACUGGUUCACUUAUAUCCACAGCACCUGUUUCAAACUCCACAUUAUCAUAUUGCAAGAUCCAACACUGUCCCCAGUCCCAGUACCACUGCCUGAUCACUGAUGGCAAUAUUAUACUUCCCCAUUUAGCUUCCCAAAACACCAUUACUAUUAAUACCAAAAUCACGUGCCUAAUCACAUGACCCCUACUCAGCAAAAAUAUAUCAUCAUUUUCACCAAAAUCUGCAGGUCAGAGUUGCAGCAUGUAACAGUCAAAGUUGAGCACAUGAUCCCACUGAUAUCAGAUCCCAAUUGGACUUUACUAUCUUUUGUAGCAGGACUUCUAACUUUCUAAGUAUAAAUCAACCACUAUACCAUAAUAUCUUCCCUACCACUCCAAUCAUAAGCUUCAAACUUAUCUCAACACAAUCACACUUCACUACUUAGCAGAAUUCAUAGAGCCACAGAAGAGAUCAGAUAUGAAGGCAUGGUCUAGAAUUCUUGCUGCUCUAGUACUUGCAUUUUCUAUGGUAUUAUCAACCUGGCCGAAUGGAGCAACAGCGCAGGCUCAUCCGCUAAAAUCUGCCCCAACAAACCGAGCUUCAUCAUCUUCAGAAUCCCUCAAAGAUUUGCAGGCAAACAGUAGGAGCCCUUUUAAGCUGGCUGGCUCAAGCUUCCGAAAGAUCCCGCCUAGUACUUCGAAUCCCACGCAGAACAAGUACAGUCCUCCAUAAGAUGGCUGAUCAAAGAGAAGUACAGAAGAAAAGUAGCAGAAUCUCGUAGUACCUAGUUUAAUUUCUCAUUCAUUCUUCUCGUCCUCCCUGAAGACGUUACAAGUACUACAAUUUGUAAUGCUCUUACAAUUUUGUUAAGUUGUGAGCUCUGCUUUUGAAUGUAAAUUUCAAAUUUUC